This is a non-coding RNA of Podarcis muralis (Common wall lizard), 2297 nucleotides long. The record is from RefSeq and is a predicted model, not a curated record. Lineage: Eukaryota; Metazoa; Chordata; Lepidosauria; Squamata; Lacertidae.
CUUAAGGCUGUUGCAUUACAUGAGUAGGAAUUGCUGGUAUUGAUUUCCUGUUGUUUCUUGUUGUUGUUUUUUUCCAGGUCAAGCAAAUAAAGUGGCUAAGGAAGCAGCCAACAGAUGGACUGAUAAUAUCUUUGCAGCAAAAUCUUGGGCCAAACGGAAGUUUGCAUUUGAAGAGAGCAAAAUUGACAAAACAUUUGGCAUUCCUGAAGACUUUGACUACAUCAAUUAGAAAGGUUUAGUAAGAAUGGCAAGUAAUUUAAUAUUGUUCAAGAGAUUUUGUUUUCAUUCCGAAGUUUCUUUUUCUUUUACCAUUAUUUGUAUUUUGGUUAAUAAAAUCUGAAAAUACAUUGAAAAUAUAUUUUUGCUUUCACGCUGUGACCCAGUAAUUUUAUCUCAUAGAAUCAUAGAAUUGCAGACUUGGAAGGGACCCCAAGGGUCAACUAGUCCAACCUCCUGCAAUGCAAAAUGGGAGCUAAUUAUAAUCAAGUCUAUUAUUAAGGUAGAUGCUAUAAUGUCCAUUUUGCUAGCUGCAUUAUGUCAGAAAGUGUUGCGGCCUAGGCCAAAAACGUAGGUGAGAGAGAGAAACUGGAAACCGUGUUUUAUGCUGGAAAAUAAAUAAGGCAGUGAAAUAAAUUACAUCUGUAAUUAAAAGUUUUGGGGGAAGAUAUGAAUGGACAGCUAUAUUCAUUUCAUGCAGUGCACUAGAUAUGCACAAAGAAUAGGCAAUGCAGUUAAUCUCUUGAUGGUUUAGUCAGAUUUCCUAAGCUAUGGUCUAGGAUCACUGAGCAAUUUUGAAAAACCAGGUAGACCCAAAUAAAAGGCAUAAUGAGGCUGUACAUGAUCCUGAAGAUAUUGUUAAAAUUUGGGGUGGGGGAACCAGACCCCCUAUAAUCUCUACAUUCAGUGAAGGGUUAGAAUUUGAGCAAACUCAUAAAUUCAUUAAUUCAGCUGUGUUGUUGUAGAAACGAAAGGCUUAAAAAGGCCUUUGAUAAUGGUAAGUCAUCAGGAAAACAUCAGACUCUGCCCUUUUUGUUAAGGGCUUGAGAAAGAGCUUGCCAGGGUGACUGGGUGGGGGACAGUGCUGGAAGCAGAAGGGGAGUUGUUGUUUCCUCCCAAGUGCUGCUGGGAAGAAGAAGGAGGAAGUGGGGAGAAAUCCAUGGAGACUGAAGGGCAUGAGCCAUGCUGGUUGGCUGAAGCAAGCUGUUACAGAGAGACAUGGGGGUGGCGCUUAGGAUGCCUCUGAAUCCAAGACUGCACAGCUGGGAAGGACAAGCCUCUUUAGAUGUGGAUGCUGUGAACUCUCUCUCCAUAAACUUCAGGUGUAUAUAUGUGCGAAUAAACCACACUUCCUAAAGACACUGCAGAAACUGCUGUGCCUCAUUUCCCCAAAGGAAACCCAAACCCUGAUUGAGUGCUAAGACCACUUGGCAGAGAUUCGGGUGGUUUUCCUGGGAUAAGCAGAAGAGGCAGUAGAUUAGUAAAAUGCAGCAAUCACAAUUCGCUGACAGUAGUGCGAAAUAACACAAGUGCUGGAAAUUAUCCUCACACCCACCAUGACUGCAGUUUCAGUCAUUGUAAUAUUGUGUUACUCGUUGAUGGCCUUUCUACAAGACUUGAAACAAACAGUUGCUACACAGCUGUGGCAUCUUCCUCAAGUUCCUGCUUCUCAUUCGUUCAUUCAUUCACAAUCCCACGGCAAACAGCACCACCUGCACUGAAGUCACCUGGCAGCUGCCUUUACCUGCACCUCAUCUGGAUCAGCCCCCCUGCAUUUCUACCAUUGAUGCUACUUUGCUGCCAAAGCUGGCUGGGUUUCACAUGCUAGAUCUGUGGAAAGUGGUUCUGGUUGGACGUGUGCAUACACAGCUCCCAGGCAUCCGCCUGUGGACAGAGUGCUGAUGUGUACGCACAUUUCCCAAUAUUGUCCCCUCUUUGCAGCCCUAGGAUAUGAACCCAGUGGACUUUAUGGUGGCAACAACAACAGGGCAAAAUGGAGAAUGGCCUGAAUGAAUGGGGAAGUCUGCCACCGCAAGGCAAUCAGCCAUCAGGGAUCUCUCUUGUUAAAAAAAAUUACAGUAUUUUUUCUUAAUGCACCUAUCUUUGCAUGCCUCGAAAUGCAACGUUUUAGCUAUUAUUGAGAAAAUGGCAUCUAAUCCUGAAAACCCUCAACAAGCCUCAUCUCUCCCAUUGACCAUCUGCUGUGGCCUUGGACCAGUCAAAUGUCUUUCAGUUUUAAUCACCCAACUGUAACUUAUCUGGCUCUGUUAUUGUGAAAAAUAAACAAUUCAGAUUCUUGA